RNAcentral lists this ribosomal RNA (466 nucleotides) under uncultured bacterium. RNAcentral describes it as "partial 16S ribosomal RNA". It matches the Rfam family "Bacterial small subunit ribosomal RNA", at positions 28 to 507 of the family's 1533-position model. The record is from RNAcentral.
GAUGAACGCUGGCGGCGUGCUUAACACAUGCAAGUCGAACGGUGAAGCCAAGCUUGCUUGGUGGAUCAGUGGCGAACGGGUGAGUAACACGUGAGCAACCUGCCCUGGACUCUGGGAUAAGCGCUGGAAACGGCGUCUAAUACUGGAUAUGAGCCUCUUCCGCAUGGUGGGGGUUGGAAAGAUUUUUUGGUCUGGGAUGGGCUCGCGGCCUAUCAGCUUGUUGGUGAGGUAAUGGCUCACCAAGGCGUCGACGGGUAGCCGGCCUGAGAGGGUGACCGGCCACACUGGGACUGAGACACGGCCCAGACUCCUACGGGAGGCAGCAGUGGGGAAUAUUGCACAAUGGGCGGAAGCCUGAUGCAGCAACGCCGCGUGAGGGAUGACGGCCUUCGGGUUGUAAACCUCUUUUAGCAGGGAAGAAGCGAAAGUGACGGUACCUGCAGAAAAAGCGCCGGCUAACUACGUG